This is a long non-coding RNA of Pygocentrus nattereri (red-bellied piranha), 1043 nucleotides long. NCBI's taxonomy places the organism in Eukaryota, Metazoa, Chordata, Actinopteri, Characiformes, Serrasalmidae. The record is from Ensembl.
GAACAAUUUACCACUUUAUGCAGAAAUAAAAAAAAACAAUGGAAUUCAAUUGUUAUUUUUCUAGAAAUAAAAUUAAAAAUCCUAAUUAUUAAAACAAUUUAAACAUCUUAAGUUCUGCUGCUCAUUUCUUCCAUUCCUUAUUUCUUCUCCCCAGAAACAUUCACUCCUUUACACAUUUACCUCUUCACUGAAAACUGUGACUCGGUGUUUAAUCUCAGCUCUCUGGUAUAAACAGGCUGUUUAAAGUGUGUUAGAGGUGAAUACAGUAGACGACACUUCACUGUAUCAGAUUAAUGACAGAAUCUUCUUGCUGUUCUUCCUCUGCAGGUUUGCUGUCCAUGAACCCUGUUUGUAGAUUUAAUCAGAGUGAUCCAUGUUAUGGAGCUGUGGGACGACCGCUGUACCUGCAGCUGCCAUCUGAGGAUGAAUUACACUUAAAAAAGAACAGCAAUGGAGCUCCUGCUGAGCGUAUUUUCAAAUUUAUAAACCAUAAAAUCACAUUAAAACAUCCAGAUUAUCCAAGAUGGCAGUUUGUUACUGAUAACAGAACCAUGAUAAUCAGCAGUGCAGAGAAAAGAGACUCAGGAAGAUACACUUUAUAUACAUAUGAUUCAGCAGCGAGAGAAAGAGGCGAUUAUCAUCUCCAGCUGGUUAUUGAAGCUGUGGUGUCCUCAGUGACUGUGACAGACAGCUGCUUAUCAAUUGAGAAGAGGAACGUUUACUGUUCGUCUGAUGGAGAUAAUGUGCAAUACAGCUGGACUUUCCAACAUACACACCAACUGGCUGAUGUGAACCAGACUCUUCUGCUGGACAAGGAAGUUCAUGGAAGUGUCACCUGCUAUGCUCAGAAUCAUGUUAGCCAUGGGAAAAAAACUAUUGAGAUACAGCAGUGUCCUGAUCCUACAACUGUGACCCCCAUUUCAACUCUGAAGCCUAAAGUGACACCAAGGACACAAUCAGGUAGUGGUACAAGUCUGGCAGUGACUGAUUGCUCCUCUAACCCUCAAGUGCCUCUCAGUUUUCAGAAUAAGAGAAUAGCUUGA